UUUUUUUAGUUUUUCUUGCUGUUCAUAACAAGUCGGAACCUAGCCUACAUUGUUUGGGAGAGACACACGCUCCAUUCCACUCUAGAACACAACAGGUUUUCAUGCUUAUGUUUUUUGUGUGUUCUUCAUCUUUUUGUAGCUACUGUCAUGCUUAGCUCUUAGUUUUCAUGCUUAUCUUUUUAUGAGCUAUUAUUUAGGUUGAUUUUGCAACUCUCUUGAGUUAUCAUGCUUAUCUUGUUUAGAGAGUUGGCUUGUUGCACUGAGUUGUGUGUCUUGCAUGAGUAGGUAAUUGAGG
Molecule: long non-coding RNA, 295 nt
Filed under: Hordeum vulgare
Lineage: Eukaryota; Viridiplantae; Streptophyta; Magnoliopsida; Poales; Poaceae
Description: long non-coding RNA (HVUL_LNC008960)
Source: RNAcentral